CCCCUUCCAUUCCAAACACCCUCUUUCCUCGUGUUUGAGCACAAAAAAGACCAAAAAAAAAUUAUUUUCGUAUCUUCUUCUUCACUUGUCUCUAAAUUUUAUUUCUUUUUUUAUAUCUUCUUCUUCAUUUAUCUCUAAAUUUUAUUUCUUUUUUUUCACCAAUAAACCACUCCUUCCAAUUUUUUUUGCUUUUCUAAAUUUUUUUCUCACUUCUCAAACACAAUUUUUUAGUGACAAAAAGAAAACUUAACCUUCACUCCUUCAUUUUUCCAUCAAAACAAUAUCCAACAACGAUUUCAAAUGAAAAAAAUAAUAGAUUUUGGAUUUUGAAGAAUCAAUAAUAGGUAAUUGAAGAACCAAUCAAAAGAAGUCAUUGAUUGAAUUUUACUGUAUACAAAAGAUAUCAUUGAUUUCAGAUGCAAUUUGAAGGUAUAAAAUAUUAUGUUUAAAGAUUUGCAAAAGAGGAAGAUGGUGGAGGCAUGACAGAGAUACAAUGAAAAAGAUGAUAACUCAUCUUUUUUAUUUAAUUCGUUCCAUG
This 538-nucleotide long non-coding RNA is filed under the name Capsicum annuum. RNAcentral describes it as "long non-coding RNA (CANN_LNC004039)". The record is from RNAcentral. Lineage: Eukaryota; Viridiplantae; Streptophyta; Magnoliopsida; Solanales; Solanaceae.